This 834-nucleotide ribosomal RNA is filed under the name uncultured bacterium. Its description in RNAcentral is "bacterial SSU rRNA". It matches the Rfam family "Bacterial small subunit ribosomal RNA", at positions 546 to 1380 of the family's 1533-position model. The record is from RNAcentral.
GGGAUUUAUUGGGCGUAAAGCGAGCGCAGGCGGUUUUUUAAGUCUGAUGUGAAAGCCUUCGGCUCAACCGAAGAAGUGCAUCGGAAACUGGGAGACUUGAGUGCAGAAGAGGACAGUGGAACUCCAUGUGUAGCAGUGAAAUGCGUAGAUAUAUGGAAGAACACCAGUGGCGAAGGCGGCUGUCUGGUCUGUAACUGACGCUGAGGCUCGAAAGUAUGGGUAGCAAACAGGAUUAGAUACCCUGGUAGUCCAUACCGUAAACGAUGAAUGCUAAGUGUUGGAGGGUUUCCGCCCUUCAGUGCUACAGCUAACGCAUUAGGCAUUCCGCCUGGGGAGUACGGCCGCAAGGCUGAAACUCAAAGGAAUUGACGGGGGCCCGCACAAGCGGUGGAGCAUGUGGUUUAAUUCGAAGCUACGCGAAGAACCUUACCAGGUCUUGACAUACUAUGCAAAUCUAAGAGAUUAGACGUUCCCUUCGGGGACAUGGAUACAGGUGGUGCAUGGUUGUCGUCAGCUCGUGUCGUGAGAUGUUGGGUUAAGUCCCGCAACGAGCGCAACCCUUAUUAUCAGUUGCCAGCAUUAAGUUGGGCACUCUGGUGAGACUGCCGGUGACAAACCGGAGGAAGGUGGGGAUGACGUCAAAUCAUCAUGCCCCUUAUGACCUGGGCUACACACGUGCUACAAUGGAUGGUACAACGAGUUGCGAACUCGCGAGAGUAAGCUAAUCUCUUAAAGCCAUUCUCAGUUCGGAUUGUAGGCUGCAACUCGCCUACAUGAAGUCGGAAUCGUUAGUAAUCGCGGAUCAGCAUGCCGCGGUGAAUACGUUCCCGGGCC